Onychostoma macrolepis is the source of this 875-nucleotide long non-coding RNA. RefSeq lists it as uncharacterized. The record is from RefSeq and is a predicted model, not a curated record. The transcript has 3 exons. Lineage: Eukaryota; Metazoa; Chordata; Actinopteri; Cypriniformes; Cyprinidae.
GGCCGCAGCGACUCGGACCGUGGUUCCUCUUGUGGUUUGGCGAUCAGACAUUGAAAUAUCUGUAUUUGUGUGUAUUGUGUGUGUAUGUCUUUGGGUUUCCAUGGUCACUUGCUGUAUUUUCCAAUUGUUUGGCCCGCGAUGGCAGCUGGGAAAAAAAAGAAAGCCGUUGACACAUUUCACCGUUUACCGUUUGGGGCAAUUCACAGAGAACUGAACGAGACAUAGGAGAAGAAAAAUGAUGAACAAACGAAGAGGACAGGUGAUGCUGAUAAAAAAAAAAAGGAAACGUACAGUGCGGAGCAGCAGUAGCGUGAACAGCCCUCUCUCUGUGUUUCGGUGUGUGUGGAGCAGAAGGCCACAGAGAGAAGACCAGACCCCUGUUCCUGCUGAACUGAGCCAGCUACAGCCAUCCACUGAUUAUCAGCACAGCAGGCACAGGAGACCAGCCCACUGACAGACACAGCCACAGAGACAAGCCACACGCACCAAAAUAAUAGCAGACUGAGGCACAGACGUCGCGAAUGAAACCAGUAACCUCGGUAUUUAUGACUCAUACAUGCAUGUAUUCAUAUAUACAUAUAUAUACACAUAUAUAUAUAUAUAUAUAUAUAUAUAUAGUGCAUAAAGACAUAAAUUACAUUGCAUAAAUGAUCUAAAAUUCUCAUUUCCAUAACAAUACACAAAGUCCUAUUUGAUUCUCAGUAACAUAUACAAUGACUAAGCAUAAUUUAAAGGCUGUACAAAAAAUAUUUUCAUAAUAUAUAUUUUUAUUAUUUUAAUACAUAAUAUAAUAUUAAAUAUACAAGACGACAAACAAUAAAACAUAAUAAAAUGUAACUAUAAAUAUAUAUAUAUAUAUAUAUAUAUAUAUAUAU